RNAcentral lists this long non-coding RNA (281 nucleotides) under Phaseolus vulgaris (common bean). Its description in RNAcentral is "long non-coding RNA (PVUL_LNC001699)". Lineage: Eukaryota; Viridiplantae; Streptophyta; Magnoliopsida; Fabales; Fabaceae. The record is from RNAcentral.
AUAAUCCAGUUCGCUCUACAUCAUUCCAGUUAAGUCAGUGAAUAUCAAGCACAGUUUGCCUUUUAAAAAAAAAAAAAAAUUUCCAGUAGCUAAUUUUUUGUUUUCUUCAUCUACUCUAGAACUUUUCCUUAAGUAUUCUUUUGUGUGCCUACUUUUCUCAUUGAGUUCUUUAUUUUCUUGAUUGUCUUUCAUUCUUACUCUUUGAGUUUGUCUCACAUAUAGUUUUUCUUUUGCAAUUACCUUUCUUUGCUUAUACCUUUUCUUGUUUGUCUUUAUUGUUU